Molecule: long non-coding RNA, 2362 nt
Organism: Lotus japonicus
Lineage: Eukaryota; Viridiplantae; Streptophyta; Magnoliopsida; Fabales; Fabaceae
Exons: 4
Source: RefSeq, a predicted model, not a curated record
UUGUCCAGUUCAGUUCGAAGAAAGAAAAUAUAGCGGUUGGAACCACAAAGCGAAAACGUUGUUGCCUUUGUCCCUGAGCGAGCGGUUGGAGAUGGCGCGAACAAGAAUCAGAGUCAGAGAGAGAGAGAGAGGGAAAGCGUUCAUGGCUUCUGGUUGUUUCAACAGAGAGCGAGAGAGGGGUAACUUUCUGAGAUUAAUGAAUGAAUGUGUUUGGCUUUCAAUUUAGGGUUUCUCUUUCUUUCUUCUCUGUGCCCGAUUACGGAUUCUUCGUCAUGUUUCUCCAUCGCUUUUCUGAUUUAGGGUUUCUCUCCAAGAUCGAUUAUGGACCCUGUUGCCUUUGUCCCUGUCCCUGUUUUUUUUUGCAUUCGGAUGAUGGUAGUUACAUGGCUGAGCCUUCUUUCAGUCUCUAAAGGGCUUCCCCUUUCAGAGUAUGCAAGUCCCUAAAAACGAGAUGGGUAAGAUGACCCUAAAGUGGCGAGAAGGAUAAUUUCGAUUGCGGACCCAUUGUCGCUGUCCCUUUUCGGAUGAUGGUAAUUUGAGGGCGCUAAGCCUUCUUGGCGUGCCUAAAGGGCUUCCCCUUUCUGAGCAUGCAAGUCCCUAAAACGAUAUGGUGAAUAUGUCCCUUAAAUCCCGAGACUGGUAAUUUCGAUUGCCGACCCUUGCUGCCUUUGUCGCUGUCCCUUUUCGGAUAAUGAAUAUGUCCCUUAAGUCUCGAUAAUGGUAAUUUCGAUUGCCGACCCAUGUUGCCUUUGUUGCUGUCCCUUUUCGGAUGACUGGUAAUUUCGAUUGCCGACCCAUGUUGCCUUUGUUGCUGUCCCUUUUCGGAUGAAUGGUAAUUUCGAUUGCUGACCCAUGUUGCCUUUGUCGCUGUCCCUUUUCGGAUGAUGAAUAUGUCCCUCAAGUCCCGAUAAUGGUAAUUUCGAUUGCCGACCCUUGUUGCAUUUGUCGCUGUCCCUUUUCGGAUGAUGAAUAUGUCCCUUAAGUCCCAAUAAUGGUAAUUUCGAUUCCCGACCCUUGUUGCCUUUGUCGCUGUCCCUUUUGGGAUGAUGGUAAUUUGAGGGCGCUAAGCCUUCUUGGGGGGCUUAAAGGCUUCCACUUUAUGAGUAUGCAAGUCCCUAAAACGAUAUGAUGAAUAUGUCCCUUAAGUCCGAGUGUGUUGGUGGGUUUGUUGAAUUUCCAAUGUAAGAUAGUUAAGACUAGGAGAUAUAGAUAGAUCAUAGGAUCAUAUGCUUCAAUGAUAUUUUGAAUGAACCAAUAACAUCUCUGCCUUUUUACUUCUAAUUUUCACGAUGUUAGGAAUGCACUAACUUGCACCUUGUAUUCCCUUCUCUUGAUCUCGAGUUUUGUUUAAUUAGACAAUAUAUGGUUUGGUUGUAGUCUACCUGGCAUCAUCAUAAGAGGUUUUCUUCAGCUGCUUUUCUACAUUUUUUAAAUUUUGUUUAGGUCUAUGUCAAGUUUCUUGGUUGUUUUUAUUUCCUGUCUGUUUAUCUUAUGCUUUGCAUUGAUUCCCUUUAUUGUUGAUAGGUUGGAUUUCUCUAUCUGAGAUAUGUUGCUGAUCCAAAGUCUCUGGAGCUGGUUUGAACCAUAUAUAAAGGAUGCUGAGGAAUUUUCUCCUGGAUCUAAUGGACGAAUGACUACAAUGGGUGUAUAUAUCCUUGAUUUGCUCCUUGGAAAGGUUCGUUGUUAUUAUAAUAUUUCUGUCUAAAGUUUACUUGGGACUUGAGAGCAUAGUUCCUAGUUUAACCUCGUGGACUCAUGCUUUGAUUAUGCUUGUAGACAAUUAAUUGCAUUUGCAUGAUAAGGGCAAAUAAACCCUGACCCCUUGAUAUAGAGAUUUUUCGAUGUAAUGUCAUACUAGGGCAAUGGGAAAAAAACAUUUGACUCAACUGCUGACUAGUUAAACUGAGAGUUAUGUGUUCAGAGCUCUGCAACCAGAACCCAGAUGCAUCAUUAGAUUGCCAAUGCAGACACGUUCGUCCUCAUCCCAUAAUUUGGAGUAACAGAAUGAGCUUUUCAAACCGGUGCUUCUGGACAAAAGCCAUUUCUUUAUGGACAUCAACUGGGGAUGCUGACCACGUUAUGAUUGUGGGUUCAUAUUUCCAUUAUGCUGGUGGAUUUGAACCCCCUCAGGCUGUCGAUAUAUCUCCUAAUCGUGGACGCUCUGAUCCUAUGUACAUUGUGUACUCUAGGAAGCUCUACCGCUUGAGAUAAAUAUGAACUGAAAGAAUUUGUAUCAAUGUAUGUGUCUACUUAUCAGCAGUGACUCUGAUGGGAGAUUGAUUCUCUUCACAUUGUAUGUAAUUUUUUGUUUUUAAAUAUUUUAAAGAAAUUUUUCUGAGCUAUAAACUAUUUUCUUGUGGCA